AGUCGAGGGAGANUAUCGGAUUCGUCUGAUAUGAAACCGGCGCACGGGUGCGUAACACGUAUGCAACCUACCUUUAACUGGGGUAUAGCUCAGAGAAAUCUGAAUUAAUCCCCCAUAACACUACGACAUGGCAUCAUGAUGUAGUUAAAGCUCCGGCGGUUAAGGAUGGGCAUGCGGUACAUUAGCUAGUUGGUGAGGUAAUGGCUCACCAAGGCUACGAUGUAUAGGGGGUCUGAGAGGAUGAUCCCCCACACUGGUACUGAGACACGGACCAGACUCCUACGGGAGGCAGCAGUAGGGAAUAUUGGUCAAUGGACGCAAGUCUGAACCAGCCAUGCCGCGUGAAGGAUGAAGGCCCUCUGGGUCGUAAACUUCUUUUAUUAGGGAAGAAACCUCAGGAUGCGUCCUGAGCUGACGGUACUUAAUGAAUAAGGAUCGGCUAACUUCGUGCCAGCAGCCGCGGUAAGACGAAGGAUCCAAGCGUUGUCCGGAUUUACUGGGUUUAAAGGGUGCGUAGGCGGAAAAUUAAGUCAGUGGUGAAAGCCCGCAGCUCAACUGUGGAACUGCCAUUGAAACUGGUUUUCUUGAAUAUAGCUGAGGCAGAUGGAAUAUAACAUGUAGCGGUGAAAUGCUUAGAUAUGUUAUAGAACACCGAUUGCGAAGGCAGUCUGCUAAACUAUUAUUGACGCUGAGGCACGAAAGCGUGGGGAGCGAACAGGAUUAGAUACCCUGNUAGUCCACGCCCUAAACGUUGAUUACUCGCUGUUGGCGAUAUACUGUCAGUGGCUAAGCGAAAGCAUUAAGUAAUCCACCUGGGAAGUACGACCGCANNGUUGAAACUCAAAGGAAUUGACGGGGGCCCGCACAAGCGGAGGAGCAUGUGGUUUNAUUCGAUGAUAC
Molecule: ribosomal RNA, 900 nt
Filed under: uncultured bacterium
Lineage: Bacteria
Description: bacterial SSU rRNA
Rfam family: Bacterial small subunit ribosomal RNA
Source: RNAcentral